RNAcentral lists this ribosomal RNA (783 nucleotides) under Vibrio natriegens. Its description in RNAcentral is "bacterial SSU rRNA". It matches the Rfam family "Bacterial small subunit ribosomal RNA", at positions 396 to 1171 of the family's 1533-position model. Lineage: Bacteria; Pseudomonadati; Pseudomonadota; Gammaproteobacteria; Vibrionales; Vibrionaceae. The record is from RNAcentral.
GCCGCGUGUGUGAAGAAGGCCUUCGGGUUGUAAAGCACUUUCAGUCGUGAGGAAGGUGGUGUAGUUAAUAGCUGCAUUAUUUGACGUUAGCGACAGAAGAAGCACCGGCUAACUCCGUGCCAGCAGCCGCGGUAAUACGGAGGGUGCGAGCGUUAAUCGGAAUUACUGGGCGUAAAGCGCAUGCAGGUGGUUUGUUAAGUCAGAUGUGAAAGCCCGGGGCUCAACCUCGGAAUAGCAUUUGAAACUGGCAGACUAGAGUACUGUAGAGGGGGGUAGAAUUUCAGGUGUAGCGGUGAAAUGCGUAGAGAUCUGAAGGAAUACCGGUGGCGAAGGCGGCCCCCUGGACAGAUACUGACACUCAGAUGCGAAAGCGUGGGGAGCAAACAGGAUUAGAUACCCUGGUAGUCCACGCCGUAAACGAUGUCUACUUGGAGGUUGUGGCCUUGAGCCGUGGCUUUCGGAGCUAACGCGUUAAGUAGACCGCCUGGGGAGUACGGUCGCAAGAUUAAAACUCAAAUGAAUUGACGGGGGCCCGCACAAGCGGUGGAGCAUGUGGUUUAAUUCGAUGCAACGCGAAGAACCUUACCUACUCUUGACAUCCAGAGAACUUUCCAGAGAUGGAUUGGUGCCUUCGGGAACUCUGAGACAGGUGCUGCAUGGCUGUCGUCAGCUCGUGUUGUGAAAUGUUGGGUUAAGUCCCGCAACGAGCGCAACCCUUAUCCUUGUUUGCCAGCGAGUAAUGUCGGGAACUCCAGGGAGACUGCCGGUGAUAAACCGGAGGAA